UGCACCGAAGCUGCGGCAGCGACGCUUAUGCGUUGUUGGGUAGGGGAGCGUUCUGUAAGCCUGUGAAGGUGGCCUGUGAGGGUUGCUGGAGGUAUCAGAAGUGCGAAUGCUGACAUAAGUAACGAUAAAGCGGGUGAAAAGCCCGCUCGCCGGAAGACCAAGGGUUCCUGUCCAACGUUAAUCGGGGCAGGGUGAGUCGACCCCUAAGGCGAGGCCGAAAGGCGUAGUCGAUGGGAAACGGGUUAAUAUUCCCGUACUUGGUGUUACUGCGAAGGGGGGACGGAGAAGGCUAUGUUGGCCGGGCGACGGUUGUCCCGGUUUAAGCGUGUAGGCUGGUUUUCCAGGCAAAUCCGGAAAAUCAAGGCUGAGGCGUGACGACGAGGCACUACGGUGCUGAAGCAACAAAUGCCCUGCUUCCAGGAAAAGCCUCUAAGCAUCAGGUAACAUCAAAUCGUACCCCAAACCGACACAGGUGGUCAGGUAGAGAAUACCAAGGCGCUUGAGAGAACUCGGGUGAAGGAACUAGGCAAAAUGGUGCCGUAACUUCGGGAGAAGGCACGCUGACAUGUAGGUGAAGUGAUUUACUCAUGGAGCUGAAGUCAGUCGAAGAUACCAGCUGGCUGCAACUGUUUAUUAAAAACACAGCACUGUGCAAACACGAAAGUGGACGUAUACGGUGUGACGCCUGCCCGGUGCCGGAAGGUUAAUUGAUGGGGUCAGCGCAAGCGAAGCUCCUGAUCGAAGCCCCGGUAAACGGCGGCCGUAACUAUAACGGUCCUAAGGUAGCGAAAUUCCUUGUCGGGUAAGUUCCGACCUGCACGAAUGGCGUAAUGAUGGCCAGGCUGUCUCCACCCGAGACUCAGUGAAAUUGAACUCGCUGUGAAGAUGCAGUGUACCCGCGGCAAGACGGAAAGACCCCGUGAACCUUUACUAUAGCUUGACACUGAACAUUGAGCCUUGAUGUGUAGGAUAGGUGGGAGGCUUUGAAGUGUGGACGCCAGUCUGCAUGGAGCCGACCUUGAAAUACCACCCUUUAAUGUUUGAUGUUCUAACGUGGACCCGUAAUCCGGGUUGCGGACAGUGUCUGGUGGGUAGUUUGACUGGGGCGGUCUCCUCCUAAAGAGUAACGGAGGAGCACGAAGGUUGGCUAAUCCUGGUCGGACAUCAGGAGGUUAGUGCAAUGGCAUAAGCCAGCUUGACUGCGAGCGUGACGGCGCGAGCAGGUGCGAAAGCAGGUCAUAGUGAUCCGGUGGUUCUGAAUGGAAGGGCCAUCGCUCAACGGAUAAAAGGUACUCCGGGGAUAACAGGCUGAUACCGCCCAAGAGUUCAUAUCGACGGCGGUGUUUGGCACCUCGAUGUCGGCUCAUCACAUCCUGGGGCUGAAGUAGGUCCCAAGGGUAUGGCUGUUCGCCAUUUAAAGUGGUACGCGAGCUGGGUUUAGAACGUCGUGAGACAGUUCGGUCCCUAUCUGCCGUGGGCGCUGGAGAACUGAGGGGGGCUGCUCCUAGUACGAGAGGACCGGAGUGGACGCAUCACUGGUGUUCGGGUUGUCAUGCCAAUGGCACUGCCCGGUAGCUAAAUGCGGAAGAGAUAAGUGCUGAAAGCAUCUAAGCACGAAACUUGCCCCGAGAUGAGUUCUCCCUGAGACUUAGAGUCUCCUGAAGGAACGUUGAAGACGACGACGUUGAUAGGCCGGGUGUGUAAGCGCAGCGAUGCGUUGAGCUAACCGGUACUAAUGAACCGUGAGGCUUAACCUUACAA
RNAcentral lists this ribosomal RNA (1761 nucleotides) under Salmonella enterica. Its description in RNAcentral is "partial 23S ribosomal RNA". It matches the Rfam family "Bacterial large subunit ribosomal RNA", at positions 1190 to 2925 of the family's 2925-position model. Lineage: Bacteria; Pseudomonadati; Pseudomonadota; Gammaproteobacteria; Enterobacterales; Enterobacteriaceae. The record is from RNAcentral.